AUUGAACGCUGGCGGCAGGCCUAACACAUGCAAGUCGAACGAGUGGCGGACGGGUGAGUAAUGUCUAGGAAACUGCCUGAUGGAGGGGGAUAACUACUGGAAACGGUAGCUAAUACCACAUACCAUUAGAUCGGCCCAGAGGGGAUUAGCUAGUUGGUGGGGUAACGGCUCACAAAGGCGACGAUCCCUAGCUGGUUUGAGAGGAUGACCAGCCACACUGGAACUGAGACAUGGUCCAGACUCCGACGGGUGGCAGCAGUGGGGAAUAUUGCACAAGGGGCGCAAGCCUGAUGCAGCCAUUCCGCGUGUAUGAAGAAGGCCUUCGGGUUGUAAAGUACUUUCAGCGGAGAGGCGUUACCCGCAGAAGAAGCACCGGCUAACUCCGUGCCAGCAGCCGCGGUAAUUC
RNAcentral lists this ribosomal RNA (406 nucleotides) under uncultured bacterium. Its description in RNAcentral is "partial 16S ribosomal RNA". It matches the Rfam family "Bacterial small subunit ribosomal RNA", at positions 30 to 526 of the family's 1533-position model. The record is from RNAcentral.